This 483-nucleotide ribosomal RNA is filed under the name uncultured bacterium. RNAcentral's name for it is "partial 16S ribosomal RNA". It matches the Rfam family "Bacterial small subunit ribosomal RNA", at positions 30 to 506 of the family's 1533-position model. The record is from RNAcentral.
AUUGAACGCUGGCGGCAGGCCUAACACAUGCAAGUCGAGCGGAUGAAGUUAGCUUGCUCCUGGAUUCAGCUUCGGACUGGUGUGUAAUUCCUAGGAAUCUGCCUUGUAUUUGUUUAUAACGUCCGUUAACGGGCGCUAAUACCUCAUACGUCCUUAUGGUGAAAGUUGGUUAUCUUCGGACCUCACGCUACCAGAUGAGCCUAGGUCGGAUUAGCUAGUUGGUGGGGUAAAGGCCUACAAAGGCGACGAUCCGUAACUGUUCUGAGAGGAUGAUCAGUAACACUGGAACUGAGAAACGGUCAAGAAUCGUAAGGGAGGCAGAAGUGGGGAAAAUUGGAAAAAGGGAGAAAGCCUGAUCCAGACAUGCCGCGUGUGUGAAGAAGGUCUACGGAUUGUAAAGCACUUUAAGUUGGGAGGAAGGGAAGUAAGUUAAUACCUUGCUGUUUUGACGUAACCAACAGAAUAAGCACCGGCUAACUUCGU